CCUACGGGAGUCAGCAGUGAGGAAUAUUGGUCAAUGGACGAGAGUCUGAACCAGCCAAGUAGCGUGAAGGAUGACUGCCCUAUGGGUUGUAAACUUCUUUUAUAAAGGAAUAAAACGAGGCACGUGUGCCUUUUUGCAUGUACUUUAUGAAUAAGGAUCGGCUAACUCCGUGCCAGCAGCCGCGGUAAUACGGAGGAUCCGAGCGUUAUCCGGAUUUAUUGGGUUUAAAGGGAGCGUAGAUGGGUUGUUAAGUCAGUUGUGAAAGUUUGCGGCUCAACCGUAAAAUUGCAAUUGAUACUGGCAGUCGUGAGUACAGUUGAGGUAGGCGGAAUUCGUGGUGUAGCGGUGAAAUGCUUAGAUAUCACGAAGAACCCCGAUUGCGAAGGCAGCUUACUAAACUGUGACUGACAUUGAUGCUCGAAAGUGUGGGUAUCAAACAGGAUUAGAUACCCUAGUAGUC
This 460-nucleotide ribosomal RNA is filed under the name uncultured bacterium. RNAcentral describes it as "partial 16S ribosomal RNA". It matches the Rfam family "Bacterial small subunit ribosomal RNA", at positions 338 to 795 of the family's 1533-position model. The record is from RNAcentral.